UACAGAGGGUGCAAGCGUUAAUCGGAUUUACUGGGCGUAAAGCGUGUGUAGGUGGUCGCGUAAGUCGGUUGUGAAAUCCCUGGGCUUAACCUGGGAAUUGCAGUCGAUACUGCGUGACUAGAGUUCGGUAGAGGGCGACGGAAUUCCCGGUGUAGCGGUGAAAUGCGUAGAUAUCGGGAGGAACAUCGAUGGCGAAGGCAAUCGCCUGGGCCUGAACUGACACUGAGACACGAAAGCGUGGGUAGCAAACAGG
Molecule: ribosomal RNA, 253 nt
Filed under: uncultured bacterium
Lineage: Bacteria
Description: partial 16S ribosomal RNA
Rfam family: Bacterial small subunit ribosomal RNA
Source: RNAcentral